This 253-nucleotide ribosomal RNA is filed under the name uncultured bacterium. RNAcentral's name for it is "partial 16S ribosomal RNA". It matches the Rfam family "Bacterial small subunit ribosomal RNA", at positions 524 to 776 of the family's 1533-position model. The record is from RNAcentral.
UACGGGGGGGGCAAGCGUUGUUCGGAAUUACUGGGCGUAAAGGGCUCGUAGGUGGCCAACUAAGUCAGACGUGAAAUCCCUCAGCUUAACUGGGGAACUGCGUCUGAUACUGGAUGGCUUGAGAUUGGGAGAGGGAUGCGGAAUUCCAGGUGUAGCGGUGAAAUGCGUAGAUAUCAGGAAGAACACCCGUGGCUAAGGCGGCUCUCUAGUACGGUACUGACGCUGAGACGCGAAAGCGUGGGGAGCGAACAGG